RNAcentral lists this ribosomal RNA (253 nucleotides) under uncultured bacterium. Its description in RNAcentral is "partial 16S ribosomal RNA". It matches the Rfam family "Bacterial small subunit ribosomal RNA", at positions 524 to 776 of the family's 1533-position model. The record is from RNAcentral.
UACGGGGGGGGCAAGCGUUAUUCGGAAUUACUGGGCGUAAAGGGCUCGUAGGCGGCCAACUAAGUCAGACGUGAAAUCCCUCGGCUUAACCGGGGAACUGCGUCUGAUACUGGAUGGCUAGAGAUUGGGAGAGGGAUGCGGAAUUCCAGGUGUAGCGGUGAAAUGCGUAGAUAUCUGGAGGAACACCGGUGGCGAAGGCGGCAUCCUGGACCAACACUGACGCUGAGGAGCGAAAGCCAGGGGAGCAAACGGG